This 324-nucleotide ribosomal RNA is filed under the name uncultured eukaryote. RNAcentral's name for it is "partial 18S ribosomal RNA". It matches the Rfam family "Eukaryotic small subunit ribosomal RNA", at positions 1470 to 1795 of the family's 1831-position model. The record is from RNAcentral.
CCCUUAGAUGUUCUGGGCCGCACGCGCGCUACACUGAUGCAUUCAACGAGCCUAUCCUUGACCGACAGGUCCGGGUAAUCUUUGAAUCUGCAUCGUGACGGGGAUAGAUUAUUGCAAUUAUUAAUCUUCAACGAGGAAUGCCUAGUAGGCGCAAGUCAUCAGCUUGCGUCGAUUACGUCCCUGCCCUUUGUACACACCGCCCGUCGCUCCUACCGAUUGGGUGUGCUGGUGAAAUGUUCGGAUCGGCCGUUUGUCGCGGUUUCCGCGGCUCGUGGCUGAGAAGUUCAUUAAACCCUCCCACCUAGAGGAAGGAGAAGUCGUAAC